CCCCACCGCCCCAGCCAAGACUCCAUCUCUCCUGCACUCUAUCACCCUUGGGUCUGAGCCACACAUGGGUUUCCCCAUGAUUUUUCACUACAAAUUAAGCAUCUUACGCAUUUGACCUCAUGGGAGCUCCUGCAGGGAGCUUCCUCACUCCCCUUUCUCAGAUGUAGAAACUGUUGCUUCCAUUAGUGCCAUCAUUUGCCAAGCUUCCUGGGAAAAGGAACAGGCCUUCUAUCUCCGAUGCCAGCUGGGGACUCCUCCCACUUGCUGGUUGAGGCUGGCCUUGUGGGAGUAGGUCUGUCCCUUGGGGGCCUGCAAGCCUGAGAGCUGAAUGAAUCUGGGGAUCCGAGGACAUCAACCUCACAGCUCUUUUGCCUCCUAGGCCUGUCCUGUCCCGAAGCUGAGGACUCCAUGAGGUUCUUAGAUGCCUUGAGUUCUUGUGGCCUUUCUUCAUGGGGUGUGACUCCAGUUCUAGACUCUCAGUUUACAAAUGAGGAAACCCAGUCUUAGACAUUAUGGCUGAGUUGCUGAUGUCACAAUCCACGACAGACUCGCUGUCCUCUUGCCUUUCCAGUCAUGGUGCUUACAGUAACUGUGGUUUCCCCCAGACCACCCAGGAAUCUGGUGACUCAGGCUCCAAAGAAGACACUUUCUAAACAAGGCCAGGUCUCUGGAGAAUGUGGUGGGAGCCGGGUCCCGCUAGGCCUGGGAAGAGAAGUAGGUGGAAUUUAUUGCUCCCAAACUCAAGUUCAGGUGUGUGUGUGUGUGGUGUAUUACCUUCGAGUGACUAGGUUUUUGGAGAAGGGUUAGUACCUCCAUUGCCUCCCCACCUAUUCCACAGCUCACUCCCACCUCAAGGCCCCCCAACCCCCGUCUCUGGGGUAUUCCCCAUAGGAGUGAGAGAAGCAGUAGGGAGAAACUGGAGAUCUGUGUUCAUGCCUUAGUGAGAAAACCUGAGGCUGGGAGAGGUGUGUGAGAGGCCUAAAGUCACACUGCAAUUUGGGGGCAGAGCUGAAAACUCAGGUCUCAGAAUUCUGGGUCUUGCUUUUUCCUUAGUCUAGGCAUAGAAUCCAUCAGUGCUCCACUGGCACACACACUGUUCACCUCUGGAGACUCCUGGUGCACCACACCUCCAUGGCCUUCCCCUGCCUGUUCCUCCAACUGCCUCCCUGCUGUCCUGGAAGCUCCCUUCCCCCACACACAUUGCAGGGGGCUGGGGAGCUUUAAAGCUGCAGCUGUCUUGUUAUAAUCCUUUCUCUGCCACUUACCAGCUAUAUGAUCUGAGGCAAGUUGUUUAACUUCUCUGUGCCUCAGUUUCCUCAUCUGAGUAAUAAUAAUAGUCCCUAUCUCCGAAAGUUAAUGGGACACGUAAAUGAAUGAAUCUAUGUUAGGCAUUCAGAACCAUACUUUCAGUAUGUAUUAAGAACAUAGCAGGUGCUCGCUAGUAUUCUUUUGGGGUCUGUGAGCCAGUUAUGGGAGGUAAGGAAGCACGAGGACUCAAAUCCAGAUCCCUUUAAUUUGUUGACUUUGGGCAAAUACCUGACCUGUGUGAACCUCAGAUUCCUUAGAGAGAAAGUAGUUAUGACCCCCCAGGGGGUUAUAGUCUGGGCCACCAGAGCCUCUCAUGGGCAGCUGCUGUGGCUUCUCCAUGGGGCCCCCUACCCCUUCCAACCCACUCUCUACCCAAAAUGAUGGUCUGCGCCCAAAUCUGACGUCUCACCUCCUCCUUGUGAUGUGAGAUCUUCAAUGACUCCUGGUGCCCUCAGAAUAAAGAACCUCUUACUAGGUCCUGACAGAAUCUGGUCCUGUCCCAUUUCUACCUGGCCAACCCCCUCAAAACCCACGCUUCAGAUCUUUCUCUUUCUCUCUCUUCUUUGCCCAAGCCGCUCCCUCCUCCUGACCACAUCCAGCUGCCCAGUCCAAGCUCUAAGCACACGGCUGCCCCCUCUGUCCUCCAGGGAAUCUCCUGGAAACCAGAGAUGUCUCAUGUCCCAUUUGUCCCCCUGGCGCUGGGCCAACCCAGCGCCAGGCAGAGGAUGGGCUCCCUGGAUGUCUGUGGAAUGAAAGGGUCACAGAGGUAAUGGAUGUGGGUGUGUUUUAUAAACUCUAAAUGACCAAGCAGGCAUCCAGAGGGGGGUAUGUUUAUUAGUAUCUUGUGUCUCCAUGGCAACCCCCAGCUGGCUUUUUCUAACAGGCUUCUAAGAACCCCAGCCUUCCCCUGUCCUCAGAUCCUGGGCUCUGGGGGCUCAUGUCCUGCAACCUUAUUCUAUCCCCUCAGGAGGUUGGGGGCGAGAAUUCCUGGCUUGAGGAGGUGUCCUUUCAAUGAUUUAGAAGAUAGACUUGGAGAAUGUCCCAGCUGGGAAGGCAUUUAGUCUUGAUCUAGUUCCAUAAGGAUCAAGAACUGAGGCCUAGAGGACGGGACCCUAGGCAGGGUCACAGCAAGGCAGGGGCAGAUGGGAGCCAACCCAGGGACUUGGGGCUCUUGCCAGAGCGGCCUUGCAGAAAAGCUGCCAAGGCUUCUGUGAAGCCAGCAUCUGCUUGAGCAAUGCAGCUGAAAGGCGAAUGAAAACAAGUUUUAAAAGACUUAACCCUGGGAUUUUGAAACCUUACAAAAGAAGACAUGUGUCUCCAUGGCCUGCUUGGUGGAGGGUGCUGGGACGGCAGUGACCCAGGGCAAUGGGCUGAUGGCUUUGCAAUUCUGCAGACCGUUUUCAAAGCAGGUCCUAGAGAAGCUCAUGGAAUACAGAUGAGGCUCAGAGAAGGGAUAGCUGAUCGCCAACAACCAUAGAAGACAAUGCUGGUGUCCCCCUCUUUGCCAGGAAAAUUCUCAACAGUGGCUGAUCGUCAAGGUGUUUGAUGCCCUACUCUGUUCCCUGCAACCACAGGUAUGGUCUUGUUGAGUCAAAAUUUCCCACUCUAGCUCCCUCAUCUGCUCUCGGUCCAAUCACCUGCACAUGGUGGUUUGGUUGCUGAUUGGGGCGGCUGACCGCAGCCACCUCCUAGGCAAGGACCAAGAUAAAAGGGGUGUAGGUGUGGGAUGUGGGUGUGUGUAGGGGAUGUAUAAAGAGAUGUUUGGAAAAUGUGAGUUCCAGUGUAAGUAUUCCUGGGCAUGCUACUUCCUACUUUCCCCAAACAGCCAGCUGAGCUCACGCUAGUUCUUACCCAGGCUUGGUAGUCAGGCCCAAAUGGGCUGCAGGGGAUUCACAUGGAAUUCUGGUGCAAUUUUAUAAAAAUAUCCUGUCACUCUUGUACUUGACUCUUCAGGAAAUAGGGGAUGUUGGGUAAAAGGUGAAGUUGGGCCCCCAGAACACAGCACACUCCUUUUGUGCCAGGGAGGAAGAGCAAACACCCAGGGCCUGGGGAGGAAGCACCUCAGAGGCUAGGCCUUCCUCACAGGGGACCUGGCCCCGGCAGCUCUCCAGCUUAGCUGCCAGUGUCUUCAGCAUAGCCAACUGCUGGGCUAGCCACCCCUUGCUGGAUGGCUCUGCCCAUGGAUAGAUGGCCGUUUCCUUAACCUCCCCCCAAACCAAGACAUUAUGACAAGAGAGCCCCAACACCUCUACCUUUCAUGCAGAACACCUGUCAACACCCUCGAUGGCCACCCACCCACUCCUAAGGCUCAGGUAUCCUGAGGGAAUGAACACCCUCUGAAGAAUGGAAUCAACAGAAGAAGAUGAUGGAUGUUUACACAUAGUCAUUCCCAAAACAGUAUAAUGCCAGUUCUCUCAGUUCAUGCUCACAGCAAUACUUCACGCACCAUCCACCGACUGACACCUGCUUUACAGAUGACAAACAAAAGCUCAGAGAGGUCAAGAAAUGCCCCAAGGUCACACAGUCAAGUGGUGGUGCCCGGUUGCAACCAGGUCAACCAAUGCUCUUCACGUUCCACGCCCCUGGCUUUCCUCAUCUAAGGUGCUAGGAUUCUUUCAUGAUACUGUCAGACCCUAGCCCAUACAUAGCAUUUCCUGCCGCUUGGCCUAUGCCCUGGCUCUGGAACUGGGAGACUUAGAAGGCUGGGAGGAGUGUGGCGCAGCCAGUAGCCUCCCUACCACGUCCUCCCCUUGUGGCGAUCCCAGUUUUGUCAUCUGUGAAGAUGUUCCUACGAGCGGUUAUAAGGAAUGAAUGAACUCAGGAGCAGGAAAAGGCUUUGGGAAAUCAGAGGUUCUGAUGUGAACACUGGUGUGGUCCGAGAUGGGGGAGAGAAUGAAGGCCUUGGUAGAGGACCUGGGAUGGAAUGAAAGCAGAGUGGAAAGCAUCAACGAGACACAGAGCCCAGGCUAGGCCUCCCUCAGGAGCCUCACAUUGUCACCUGGGAUGCUGCCAGCCUUCCUGAAAUCUUAGAUCUUCCUUUGGGUUAAGCAGUGCCUUUUCUAGAGUCUCCUAUUAAAAUGCUCCUUCCCUUUAGAGUCCUGAUCUUGUAGUUUACAUGUAACAAACAAACCUCCCACAUGCCAGGAAGCUUACAUAUAUGAUCCAGUAGAACACUCAUAUCAGGACAUUCACACUAACCGUUUUAGCCCCAUUUUACAGAUAUGAAAAAAUGAGGCCCAGAGGAGUGCAAUAAUUUGCCUGAGUUCUCACGGGAGGUAAGGGACAGAGCCAGGGUUUGCAGUGCAUUGCUUUUGCUUCAGAGUCUGGUUGCUUUGGUGCUCAAUCUCCAAAUCUUGCUUAUGCUGUUUCCUCUUCCUAAAUGCCCUUCACCUAUUCUGCCACUUAAUUGUCAGACUCCCUUCUAUUCAUUUAAAGUAGUGAUCCUUAUGAACAUUUAAUAUCAUUUAAUGUAUUUUUUGUUUUUAGAAGACACAUGCAAGAAAUGGCACGUAGUGAGAAUUUCCUCCUUCCAUCCAGGUCCCAGCCAGCCAGACCCUGUGGGUUACCUGUUUGUUGGGUACCUGUGUAUCCUUUAAUAUGUUCAUUUCUUGGGGCUCCAGCUCACCUGUUCUUUUCUCUAGGACCCAUCCCCUAACAGUUGAAACUCCUCUCAUUUGGCUCAGGUAAACCCUGCCCACUGAGUCCCACAUAGCCCAGACCUCCCUCCCGUUC
Talpa occidentalis (Iberian mole) is the source of this 5040-nucleotide long non-coding RNA. RefSeq lists it as uncharacterized. The transcript has 5 exons. NCBI's taxonomy places the organism in Eukaryota, Metazoa, Chordata, Mammalia, Eulipotyphla, Talpidae. The record is from RefSeq and is a predicted model, not a curated record.